UCCUACGGGGGGCAGCAGUGGGGAAUCUUGCACAAUGGAGGAAACUCUGAUGCAGCGACGCCGCGUGAGUGAUGAAGCCCUUCGGGGUGUAAAGCUCUUUCGACAGGAACGAUAAUGACGGUACCUGAAGAAGAAGCUGCGGCUAACUACGUGCCAGCAGCCGCGGUAAUACGUAGGCAGCAAGCGUUGUUCGGAAUUACUGGGCGUAAAGAGUGUGUAGGCGGUGCUCUAAGUUUGGUGUGAAAUCUCCCGGCUCAACCGGGAGGCUGCAUCGAAUACUGGAAUGCUAGAGGGUGGGAGAGGUAAGCGGAAUUCCUGGUGUAGCGGUGAAAUGCGUAGAUAUCAGGAGGAACACCUGUGGUGUAGACAGCUUACUGGACCACUUCUGACGCUGAGACACGAAAGCGUGGGUAGCAAACAGGAUUAGAUACCCCAGUAGUCU
This 442-nucleotide ribosomal RNA is filed under the name uncultured bacterium. Its description in RNAcentral is "bacterial SSU rRNA". It matches the Rfam family "Bacterial small subunit ribosomal RNA", at positions 337 to 796 of the family's 1533-position model. The record is from RNAcentral.